GACGAACGCUGGCGGCGUGCCUAAUACAUGCAAGUCGGGCGAAGUUUUUCUGGUGCUUGCACUAGAAAAACUUAGCGGCGAACGGGUGAGUAACACGUAAAGAACCUGCCUCAUAGACUGGGACAACUAUUGGAAACGAUAGCUAAUACCGGAUAACAGUAUUUCUCGCAUGAGAGAUAUUUAAAAGUUGGUUAUGCUAACACUAUGAGAUGGCUUUGCGGUGCAUUAGCUAGUUGGUGGGGUAAAGGCCCACCAAGGCGACGAUGCAUAGCCGACCUGAGAGGGUGAUCGGCCGCACUGGGACUGAGACACGGCCCAGACUCCUACGGGAGGCAGCAGUAGGGAAUCUUCCGCAAUGGGCGAAAGCCUGACGGAGCAACGCCGCGUGAGUGAAGAAGGAUUUCGGUUCGUAAAGCUCUGUUGUUAGGGAAGAAUGGAUAUGUAGUAACUAUACAUGUAAGAGACGGUACCUAACCAGAAAGCCACGGCUAACUACGUG
RNAcentral lists this ribosomal RNA (499 nucleotides) under uncultured bacterium. RNAcentral describes it as "partial 16S ribosomal RNA". It matches the Rfam family "Bacterial small subunit ribosomal RNA", at positions 28 to 507 of the family's 1533-position model. The record is from RNAcentral.